Molecule: long non-coding RNA, 4988 nt
Filed under: Triticum aestivum (bread wheat)
Lineage: Eukaryota; Viridiplantae; Streptophyta; Magnoliopsida; Poales; Poaceae
Description: long non-coding RNA (TAES_LNC014544)
Source: RNAcentral
AUUUCAUUUUGAUCCUCUUUCUUUGCAAGGUUCUAAUGGAAUUGAUGAUAUGGAUUUUGGAGAUCUUCUUUAGGUUCCUAUUUCAUGACAAGAAGAAGAUGGUCCAUCUUCUUUUGGCCUGAAUAUGUUCAGCUUGAAGAAAUUUGUGAAAAACACUGCAAAAUGGUGUUCUUUUGUGUAGAACCUGCAGCUCUAGUACUAUAUUUUGUUGGAGGUUAUUAUGGUUAUUUGUAUCAUAACUACUGUUUGUAUUCUGGUUGAUUUUGGUUGAAUUCUGGUUGAAAACGGAGUAUUUUUACAGGUUUCUAUCCAGUCUGAAUAUGUUCUGUUCUAUUCUGCUGUUUACAUUCAAUUAACUGUCCAUAGAUGCACUUGUCGCUGCAGCUAGGCUGUUUGCUCCCGAAUGGGCCUUCCUUGUCGCUUAUGUGGGCUGGCCUGGCUGAACUGUGUUGUGUGAGGGAAGGAAACAUGAAACAGAGCAGGGGACACACGAUGGAAAAGAAACGGCAUCCAGCUGCCUCAAGGCUGCCUCUGACUUGCUAUAAGCAAGUUAGAGAAUCUGCGCCGGGCGCCCCCUGGCAGCCUCCCUUAUUUAGGUAGGCUUUUGUCCCCCUGAUCCAGAUUUGGAAAGUAGGAAGGCCCACGCUUUCCUCCCGCGCCCACGCUUUCCUUCAGCUCCCCCAUCACACACUUGAUCAACGCCCGUCCUCAAAUGGGAGGUGUGGCUCCCCUGACGUACCCCUAGACCCAACCUUUCCCUCUCCUCACCUACCCCACCUCCACGCCCUUCUUCUUCUUCUUCUUCUUCUUCUUCUCCUCCUCCUCCUCCAAAAUCGAAAGGACCCUGCAAUGGCUGCCCCAUUGAAGCUUAAAAACUGGAAAAAGAAUCUACCAAUAUACAGACAAAGGAAGAAGAGAUAGGUGUGAUUUUCUCACCUUGUUUGUCCAAAUCUAAUUGCACCUUCUACCUCCCAGUGUUCUCCCUCGUUUUUCCCAGAUCCAUGAGCAACUAGUAUGGUUGUUGUGCUGCACCUAUUGCAAAAAAGAAAAAGAAAACAGAAAGUGAACAACUAUAGUGGAUUUUGCAAGCAAAUCAGAUAUUGACACUUGACAGCAAGCAACUCUUGGCAGGACAUGAACCAGAAACGUCUGUUUUUCAUUUUUUUUAAAGCAAGUACUAGCUGUUGUGUUUUUAGGUUGCUAUUGGACUAGAAAAAAGUGUAUUGAAAAAAAAAAGAGCAGCAACUUCUAGGCUUUGUUUUAAGCAAAAAUAGAGCUAAGAGCAAGCAACUCAUGUGUGCUCAUGCAUGCUAUAACUAAAAAGAUGUGGAAAAAGUGUGGGCAACUACUAUGGCACUUUUAAGCAAAUAAAAAAGGGUAAAAAAGGGUAAGCAACUCAUGUAUCUCUUCUUCUGAAUUUAGUUUGCUUUGUACAAUGUAUGUGGUAAAAUUUUAAAAGAAAAGCAGCAAACACCUAGGUGGGUUGUUUUAAGCAACUCCAGUUCUGCCAUUAAGCAACUUCGUGCCCGUGCACGCUGGUAGUGAACAACUGAUUUCCUAUCACUGAUAUACUAGGCUCUUAUCCAGUUUUACGGCCAUCACUGAAAAGAAAUGUAGGCAACUACCGAGGUUUUCUUAAGCAAGUCUAGUGCAAUAAGUAAUCACACACAAUUGAUUUCUCUCUAGGUAGUAAGAACUAAUUCCAGGUGAAGGGUAUGAAGAUUAACUGGAGAGUAGCUGGUGGGGGUUCCUUACUUGGGCACUACUUGGAUAGCUUUGAGAUUUUCUAUGUGGGUCCUACAAAAAAAGAAAAACACAAAGGGGUUCGCCAUGGUUUCCGUCACAAAGAAAGCUACCAUGGUCCUGUAUGUGUCUUGCUAGAAAACUGUGGGAGGCUUGCUAGAGUUUUAUGUGUGACUUGCCUGUUGUUUAGACCAAAAAGUGUGAGCUUUCUGUUUCCACAUGCACAAAUAUUCUGCCGCCCAAUCCCGCUUCCCAUCCCCCUAAAAUGUGUGCCUAAGAUGUCAAUUAAAAUUGUGAGCUUUUCUCUACUUUUUUCUAUAUUUGAUUGACUUCAGUUUCUUUAAGUUGCUUGAUUUGUGAAUACAAAUUGCCUAGUCUAGCUGUGUGGAGUUGCCUAACCUUGCUGUGUGUAUGUUUUCUGAACUAUCAGAAUAGUGUGAAAGAACUAGUAUUUGAAUUAAGUUGCUUGAUCUGUGUGUAUCAAUUGCCUGGUCUAGAAGUGUGGAGUUGCCUAACCCUUGAUAUCAUGUUCAAUAAAGAUGGAGCCCCCUUGUAGUAAACACUAUAUCAUUGAUUAUAUAAAUGAAAAAAUGGCAAGUUUUGUAUCAUUUUAAGGCAACUAAGAAGCAAUGAUUGGGCGAGUUGAAAAAUGGACAAACACACAGAAAAGGCCAUACUCCAUGAUAGAACAGAAAUCUGGCUACUGUUUCGUUUCACAGAACAGGAACUAGACCCUCUCACAUCUAGCAACAUUAAUGCUUGUUCAAUACCUCUGAAUUAUUAUAUCUAUAUGUUUGUACAUUACUGUUCUCCUUACCACUCAUCCCAUCCCAUAAUAUAAGAGGUUUUCUAAAGCUAAUAUAGCUUGCAAAAACGUCUUAUACUAUGGGACGGAGGGAGUAUGUGUUUUAGUGCGCGCUAAUUUUACUGUCAUCACUGAAAAAGACUAUAGGCAAGUACUGAGGUUUUUAGGCAUGUAUAUACUUCCUGCGUCCGCGAAUAAGUGUACAUCUAGCUUUUGUCCUAAGUCAAAGUUUUAAAACUUUGACUAAUUUUAUAGGAAAAAGUAGUAGCAUUUAUGACACCAUAUUAGUAUCACUAGAAUCAUUUUGAAAUGUAUUUUCAUAAUAUACCAAUUUGAUAUCAUAAUAUACUACUACUCUUUUCUAAAAAGUUGGUCAAAAUUAUAAAACUUUAACUUUAGAAUAAAUGGUAGAAGUACACUUAUUCGCGGACGGAGGGAGUGCUUCCCAUAUCUUGGGCAAGUCUAUCAUCAGAUCUUAGGCAAGUCUAUCAUCAGAGUAUAUGAUGAAAAGCGUCUGUAACGCGUAUCUGAUAUAGAAACAGUCAUUCAUCUAAGUAUAUAAUGAAAAGAGUCGGCAAGUUUGCAUCAUUUUGAGGCAACUAGAAGGCAAUGGUUAGGCAAGUUAAAAAAAAUCAUCAUCAAGAUUGGUUGUAGGGGGGUCUUGCUGGAUGCCCUUACUGCUCCCAGCCAUUUUUCGCUGCAAAAAGUAAAGUAUAAAACUAUCAUUAGCCAUAAAAGCAUGACAAAAAUAGCAGGCAACUUAAGAAAAAUGUAAAACAUGUAUUGGUAAAAAAACAAUUGAAAACCCGUGACAACCGCGCAGGCAAGUUUGCAUGCCUCUGCUAGGCAAAAACCAUGAAAAUGCCAGGCAUCUGGCUAGCUAAGGAUGCCAAUAUCAAAAUGGAAAUGUCGUAUCUAUGCAUGAGCUAAGCAGGCUUCUUGUUACUACCCUCCUGUGCCAGCAAGUUUUUUAUCGUCAUCACAUCCAGCUAGAGGAUACAUGCUACUCCUAGUGUGAUAUUGGCAUCGCAUAAAUUUUGCCAGGCCAACUCUCUCUCUCUCUUUCAGUAUAACACUAGGAAUCUAUAUAGGUCAAUGCUUUUAGGCGACCUAUUUUAUUCACCAUGCGAAGCCCUCUUCAAAAGAUCAAAGCAUCAAAAAUAUGUGAAGCACAUGUGUGGUAAUUAAAUGAGAACAAGGAGCACCUAUGUACAGGCAAGUUGGUAUGCAUCUGCUAGGCAAAAGCAAUGUAAACGUCAGGCAAAACUGGUAAGCCACUACUUCAAACUCUAUGGUAAGUAAAAGAAAACAAGGAGCACCUAUGUACAGGAAAGUUGGUAUGCAUCUGCUAGGCAAAAGCAAUGUAAACGUCAGGCAAAACUGGUAAGCCACUACUUCAAACUGUGUAGUAAUUAAAAGAAAACAUGGAGCACCUAUGUACAGGCAAGUUGGUAUGCAUCUGCUAGGCAAAAACAAUAUAAACGUCAGGCAAAACUGGUAACCCACUACUAAACUGGCAACAAACUGAUCAGUGAAAACUCGAAUAUAUCUAACUGAAAUCAUGGGAUGAAUCAAAAAACGCCAGGAUAUCUCAUAUAUAUCUAACUACCAGAUCAAACUAGCAAUAAAUAAGAGCAUCCCCUGGCAAAAAAGCACUCUAGAACAGGCAAAACUACUGCAAACAUCAACUUAGCCACAAAACAAAUUUCUCGUACAAGUUCUCGCACAUUCUCCUCACAUUUCUCCCGAAUCUCUACCGCGCCAGAGGAUAUUGACCCUUGCAAACACGCAACCGCCCCCGAAGGAGAGUAACCAGGGAAAAAUUGAGCUCCUCCAUCAUCCCUCAUUUCUCGCGCAUCUUCGCAUCCACUCUCGUAGAACCACCCCCAAUUGAACAGUCGAACGCUAGCACAUAGACGAAAAAUUGCAGAAAACCAGUGAGAUGAAGAGGUGGGGAACGAGAUGAUUACCGGCGUUUUGCAGUCGAUUUGCUCUUCCUCCACAAAUCACAGCAUCCCCUCUCCUGCCUACGCCCUCCUGCUUCACAACCGCUCGCCUGGAGAUCCCGACCGCUGACGCCGCCGCAACCUUGGACGUCGCCGCCGCAACAACUGCUCCGCCCCUCGCGCGGAAAUGCUCCCCAACAAGUGGAAUCGACGGGUGGAAGAGAGAAAACGCAGAACGAAUAGUGCGGAAUCGCUGGAUUCGUCGCCAGAUAUUGAGAACGGGGAGAGAGGAACGGCGGUUUCCGUGAGAGUGGGGAGGCGGUGGAAAGCGGGAAUGGUAGCGUGCGACGUGGGUGAUGAGGGAACGUGGACUAGUUGUUGCGGGUGUAUUACGGGCCGGGCCGACCGGACGACACCUGAAAAAAAAAGUGAGCCAACCGCGACACACCUGCGCACGCGAUCCAGAUCGGACGACGCAGAAGCGUGUGCGCUCG